Molecule: ribosomal RNA, 1411 nt
Filed under: Mammaliicoccus sciuri
Lineage: Bacteria; Bacillati; Bacillota; Bacilli; Caryophanales; Staphylococcaceae
Description: bacterial SSU rRNA
Rfam family: Bacterial small subunit ribosomal RNA
Source: RNAcentral
UGCAGUCGAGCGACAGAUGAGAAGCUUGCUUCUCUGAUGUUAGCGGCGGACGGGUGAGUAACACGUGGGUAACCUACCUAUAAGACUGGGAUAACUCCGGGAAACCGGGGCUAAUACCGGAUAAUAUUUUGAACCGCAUGGUUCAAUAGUGAAAGACGGUUUCGGCUGUCACUUAUAGAUGGACCCGCGCCGUAUUAGCUAGUUGGUAAGGUAACGGCUUACCAAGGCGACGAUACGUAGCCGACCUGAGAGGGUGAUCGGCCACACUGGAACUGAGACACGGUCCAGACUCCUACGGGAGGCAGCAGUAGGGAAUCUUCCGCAAUGGGCGAAAGCCUGACGGAGCAACGCCGCGUGAGUGAUGAAGGUCUUCGGAUCGUAAAACUCUGUUGUUAGGGAAGAACAAAUUUGUUAGUAACUGAACAAGUCUUGACGGUACCUAACCAGAAAGCCACGGCUAACUACGUGCCAGCAGCCGCGGUAAUACGUAGGUGGCAAGCGUUAUCCGGAAUUAUUGGGCGUAAAGCGCGCGUAGGCGGUUUCUUAAGUCUGAUGUGAAAGCCCACGGCUCAACCGUGGAGGGUCAUUGGAAACUGGGAAACUUGAGUGCAGAAGAGGAGAGUGGAAUUCCAUGUGUAGCGGUGAAAUGCGCAGAGAUAUGGAGGAACACCAGUGGCGAAGGCGGCUCUCUGGUCUGUAACUGACGCUGAUGUGCGAAAGCGUGGGGAUCAAACAGGAUUAGAUACCCUGGUAGUCCACGCCGUAAACGAUGAGUGCUAAGUGUUAGGGGGUUUCCGCCCCUUAGUGCUGCAGCUAACGCAUUAAGCACUCCGCCUGGGGAGUACGACCGCAAGGUUGAAACUCAAAGGAAUUGACGGGGACCCGCACAAGCGGUGGAGCAUGUGGUUUAAUUCGAAGCAACGCGAAGAACCUUACCAAAUCUUGACAUCCUUUGACCGCUCUAGAGAUAGAGUCUUCCCCUUCGGGGGACAAAGUGACAGGUGGUGCAUGGGUUGUCGUCAGCUCGUGUCGUGAGAUUGUUGGGUUUAAGUCCCGCAACGAGCGCAACCCGUUUAAGCUUAGUUUGCCCAAUCAUUAAGUUUGGGCACUUUUAAGGUUGGAACUGCCGGUGACAAACCGGAGGAAGGUGGGGAUGACGUCAAAUCAUCAUGCCCCUUAUGAUUUGGGCUACACACGUGCUACAAUGGAUAAUACAAAGGGCAGCGAAUCCGCGAGGCCAAGCAAAUCCCAUAAAAUUAUUCUCAGUUCGGAUUGUAGUCUGCAACUCGACUACAUGAAGCUGGAAUCGCUAGUAAUCGUAGAUCAGCAUGCUACGGUGAAUACGUUCCCGGGUCUUGUACACACCGCCCGUCACACCACGAGAGUUUGUAACACCCGAAGCCGGUGGAGU